AGCGUUGUUCGUAAUGACUGAGUAUAUUGUAUAAGAAAAUAAUGAUGCGUGUAAACAAAUUAUUUUAUACGUUUGUUUAUAAUAUUUUUUUUUUAAUUAAAUUCUGUAUUGUAAUGAUAAAAUAUAAUAACAGUGCAGGAUUUUUUUAUAGAAUUAAAAAUUAAUAUUUUUAUAUUAUUAUGAAGGUAUAAUUAUCGAAUAGGAUUAGGGACCCUAGUAGUUUUUACAGUAAACAAUGGCUAUUUAAAUUUAAUGUUAUUAGCUUACUUAGGUAGUACGAUCGCAAGGUUGAAAUUUAACAGAAUUGGCGGGAAUUUAAUUUAACGGUGGAGUAUGUGGUUUAAUACGAUAAUCCACGUAAAAUCUUACCAGUGUGUUUUUUGUGAUUUAAUUUCAUUAAUUGGAGUAUAAUAGCGCAAUGAGUAGUAUUGCAUGGCUGUCGUCAACUCGUGUUGUGAAAUGUAAAAUUAAGUUUUUUAACGAGUGCAAUCUUUGGUAUUUAUAUUAAUUGUAUAAUGUAUAAUUAAAAAAAUAUUAGUAAUAAGUGAGCUGAAGUCAAGUCGGUAUGAUCUUUGUAUGCUGGGCUACACACGUGCUACAAUGAAAAAAACAAAGAACGGUUUUUAUGUGAAUAUAAACUAUCUUUAAAAAAUUUUCAAAGUUCGGAUUAUUUUUUGAAAUUUAAAAGUAUGAAGGUGAAAUCGUUAGUAAUUGUAAAUGAGUAUGUUACGGUGAAAAAUAAAAUUAAAUUUUGUACACACUGCCCAUCACGCUCGGAAAAUUAAUUGUAUUGUAUAAAUAAAAAUUUUGUGGUAUAUUUGUAUUUUUUGAAAAUAGGCAUUUUUUUUAUUUUUCUUUUAUAAUUGGUGAUUUGAGUG
RNAcentral lists this ribosomal RNA (878 nucleotides) under Metaradiophrya speculorum. RNAcentral describes it as "partial large subunit ribosomal RNA". The stretch from base 1 to 775 matches the Rfam family "Bacterial small subunit ribosomal RNA", at positions 537 to 1533 of the family's 1533-position model. The record is from RNAcentral. Lineage: Eukaryota; Ciliophora; Oligohymenophorea; Astomatida; Radiophryidae.